AUUGAACGCUGGCGGCAUGCUUUACACAUGCAAGUCGAACGGCAACGAGGAGAAGCUUGCUUCUCUGUCGGCGAGUGGCGAACGGGUGAGUAUAGCAUCGGAACGUGCCAAGUAGUGGGGGAUAACCAAACGAAAGUUAGGCUAAUACCGCGUAAGCUCCAAGGAGGAAAGUAGGGGACCUAAAUAAGGCCUUACGCUAUUUGAUCGGCCGAUGUCGGAUUAGCUAGUUGGUGGGGUAAUGGCUCACCAAGGCAAUGAUCCGUAGCGGGUCUGAGAGGACGAUCCGCCACACUGGGACUGAGACACGGCCCAGACUCCUACGGGAGGCAGCAGUGGGGAAUUUUGGACAAUGGGGGAAACCCUGAUCCAGCCAUGCCGCGUGUAUGAAGAAGGCCUUAGGGUUGUAAAGUACUUUUGUUAGGGAAGAAAAGCUAGUUUUUAAUAAAAAUUAGUGAUGACGGUACCUAAAGAAUAAGCACCGGCUAACUACGUG
Molecule: ribosomal RNA, 493 nt
Filed under: uncultured bacterium
Lineage: Bacteria
Description: partial 16S ribosomal RNA
Rfam family: Bacterial small subunit ribosomal RNA
Source: RNAcentral